UACAGGGGGUGCAAACGUUGCUCGGAAUUAUUGGGCGUAAAGCGCGCGUAGGCGGCUACUUAAGUCGGAUGUGAAAGCCCCUGGCUCAACUGGGGAAGUGCACCCGAAACUGAGUGGCUUGAGUACUAAAGAGGGUCGCGGAAUUCCCGGUGUAGAGGUGAAAUUCGUAGAUAUCGGGAGGAACACCGGUGGCGAAGGCGGCGACCUGGGUAGAUACUGACGCUGAUGCGCGAAAGCCAGGGGAGCGAACGGG
RNAcentral lists this ribosomal RNA (253 nucleotides) under uncultured bacterium. RNAcentral describes it as "partial 16S ribosomal RNA". It matches the Rfam family "Bacterial small subunit ribosomal RNA", at positions 524 to 776 of the family's 1533-position model. The record is from RNAcentral.